This 73-nucleotide transfer RNA is filed under the name Haemaphysalis longicornis (longhorned tick). It matches the Rfam family "tRNA". From Rfam's summary of the family: Transfer RNA (tRNA) molecules are approximately 80 nucleotides in length. Their secondary structure includes four short double-helical elements and three loops (D, anti-codon, and T loops). Further hydrogen bonds mediate the characteristic L-shaped molecular structure. tRNAs have two regions of fundamental functional importance: the anti-codon, which is responsible for specific mRNA codon recognition, and the 3' end, to which the tRNAs corresponding amino acid is attached (by aminoacyl-tRNA synthetases). tRNAs cope with the degeneracy of the genetic code in two manners: having more than one tRNA (with a specific anti-codon) for a particular amino acid; and 'wobble' base-pairing, i.e. permitting non-standard base-pairing at the 3rd anti-codon position. Lineage: Eukaryota; Metazoa; Arthropoda; Arachnida; Ixodida; Ixodidae. The record is from Rfam by way of RNAcentral.
CCGCCGGUAGCGUAGUGGUUAUCGCACCAGACAGCCAUUCUGGAGGUCGUGGGUUCGGAUCCCACCCGGCGGG